Molecule: long non-coding RNA, 293 nt
Filed under: Numida meleagris (helmeted guineafowl)
Lineage: Eukaryota; Metazoa; Chordata; Aves; Galliformes; Numididae
Description: lncRNA (ENSNMEG00000020988.1)
Source: RNAcentral
AAAUAGCUCUACAGAGCCUGAAAGCAACAUAAUUGUAUAAUUCCUCUUUGCUCUGGAGGAGAGGACGCCUGUUUAGCAUGCUAUCAUGUUUUAUUAUGUCAGACUCCAGGAUCAUGCUACCUUUGACUGGGUCUUUCUGAAGAUAACGUAAGUGAUCUGCAAUUUAUGCUGAUUCCAGUGACACAGCAGUUGGUGGACAGCAGUAUUAGGUUUGAAAUAACUGGCCCAGAAAUUUACAAACUUACCUGUUAAAAAAGGAAAGAUGGACCCGGUGAUGGGUAGACUGAAAUUCU